AUGCAAGUCGAACGGUAACAGGUCUUCGGACGCUGACGAGUGGCGAACGGGUGAGUAAUACAUCGGAACGUGCCCAGUCGUGGGGGAUAACUACUCGAAAGAGUAGCUAAUACCGCAUACGAUCUGAGGAUGAAAGCGGGGGACCUUCGGGCCUCGCGCGAUUGGAGCGGCCGAUGGCAGAUUAGGUAGUUGGUGGGAUAAAAGCUUACCAAGCCGACGAUCUGUAGCUGGUCUGAGAGGACGACCAGCCACACUGGGACUGAGACACGGCCCAGACUCCUACGGGAGGCAGCAGUGGGGAAUUUUGGACAAUGGGCGAAAGCCUGAUCCAGCAAUGCCGCGUGCAGGAUGAAGGCCUUCGGGUUGUAAACUGCUUUUGUACGGAACGAAAAAGCUCCUUCUAAUACAGGGGGCCCAUGACGGUACCGUAAGAAUAAGCACCGGCUAACUACU
This 453-nucleotide ribosomal RNA is filed under the name Delftia sp. BA2. Its description in RNAcentral is "bacterial SSU rRNA". It matches the Rfam family "Bacterial small subunit ribosomal RNA", at positions 55 to 505 of the family's 1533-position model. Lineage: Bacteria; Pseudomonadati; Pseudomonadota; Betaproteobacteria; Burkholderiales; Comamonadaceae. The record is from RNAcentral.